RNAcentral lists this ribosomal RNA (344 nucleotides) under uncultured bacterium. RNAcentral's name for it is "bacterial SSU rRNA". It matches the Rfam family "Bacterial small subunit ribosomal RNA", at positions 1 to 334 of the family's 1533-position model. The record is from RNAcentral.
CUAGCGACUUCAGAGUUUGAUCCUGGCUCAGGAUAAACGCUGGCGGCGUGCAUAACACAUUCAAGUCGAACGGACUUAAUGGCGAGCUUGCUCAAAAUUAAGUUAGUGGCGGACGGGUGAGUAACGCGUGAGCAACCUGCCUAUCAGUGGGGAAUAACGUUUGGAAACGAACGCUAAUACCGCAUAAUGUAUUUUGAUCGCAUGUUCGAAAUACCAAAGAUUUAUUGCUGAUAGAUGGGCUCGCGUCUGAUUAGGUAGUUGGUGAGGUAACGGCUCACCAAGCCGACGAUCAGUAGCCGGACUGAGAGGUUGAACGGCCACAUUGGAACUGAGAAACGGUCCAG